UACCCUCGGGAGGGGGAUAACCCCGGGAAACUGGGGCUAAUCCCCCAUAGGCCUGGGGUACUGGAAGGUCCUCAGGCCGAAAGGGUCUCUGACCGCCCGAGGAUGGGCCGGCGGCCGAUUAGGUAGUUGGUGGGGUAACGGCCCACCAAGCCGAAGAUCGGUACGGGCCAUGAGAGUGGGAGCCCGGAGAUGGACACUGAGACACGGGUCCAGGCCCUACGGGGCGCAGCAGGCGCGAAACCUCCGCAAUGCGGGCAACCGCGACGGGNNGACCCCCAGUGCCGUGGCAUCGCCACGGCUUUUCCGGAGUGCAAAAAGCUCCGGGAAUAAGGGCUGGGCAAGGCCGGUGGCAGCCGCCGCGGUAAUACCGGCGGCCCGAGUGGUGGCCGCUAUUAUUGGGCCUAAAGCGUCCGUAGCCGGGCCCGUAAGUCCCUGGCGAAAUCCCACGGCUCAACCGUGGGGCUUGCUGGGGAUACUGCGGGCCUUGGGACCGGGAGAGGCGGGGGGUACCCCUGGGGUAGGGGUGAAAUCCUAUAAUCCCAGGGGGACCGCCAGUGGCGAAGGCGCCCCGCUGGAACGGGUCCGACGGUGAGGGACGAAGGCCAGGGGAGCGAACCGGAUUANAUACCCGGGUAGUCCUGGCUGUAAAGGAUGCNGGCUAGGUGUCG
RNAcentral lists this ribosomal RNA (668 nucleotides) under uncultured archaeon. RNAcentral's name for it is "bacterial SSU rRNA". It matches the Rfam family "Archaeal small subunit ribosomal RNA", at positions 110 to 776 of the family's 1478-position model. The record is from RNAcentral.